UGUAGCUCAGUGGCAGAGCAUGUGCUUAGUGUGUACAAGGCCCUGGGUUUUAUUCUCAGCA
Molecule: transfer RNA, 61 nt
Filed under: Rattus norvegicus (Norway rat)
Lineage: Eukaryota; Metazoa; Chordata; Mammalia; Rodentia; Muridae
Rfam family: tRNA
About the family: Transfer RNA (tRNA) molecules are approximately 80 nucleotides in length. Their secondary structure includes four short double-helical elements and three loops (D, anti-codon, and T loops).
Source: Rfam by way of RNAcentral